UCAUAACUUCACAGGACCAGUUUUUCGGAGUGCUUUGGGUGUGGUUCUUGCCCAGUGGUUUGUCUUUCCACCUUUACUCCUUAAAUUAGCUUAAAAGUUGACUUAACUUACUGGCAACAAAUACUAACAAUAUUAACAACAGCCAAAGCCAACUCUUAGUGCUUAUUAUAUGCCAGGCAAAUUUCAAAAUAUAUUUAUGUAUGAAGUAUGCUCUGUGUAUAUUAACUCAUUUAAUUUUUACAACUUAUCCUGCACGUGCUGGUAUUAUCCCCAGUUUGCAGAUGUUGAAACUGAGUUACAGAGAGGCUAGGUUACUUGCUCAAGGUCUACACGACUUUAAAUGGGGGCCCUGAAAUUCAAACGUGGUCAGCUGACCUAGUUCUUCAGAGUCCUGCCUGACACGUGGACUGUUUUCUAACCUAAUUUUUUCAUAUAGCAAAAGUUCAUGAGCACUUCCAUGUUACUAAAUAUUCAUCUAAAUAUUUAAAGUAGCUACAUAGUGUUAAGUUGUAAGGAUGAUUCCUGAUUGGUUUAACCAACUUGCUGUUGUGGGACAUUAAGAAUAUCUUGGUGGCUAAACUUUUUUUUUUUUUCUAAUAUCCAUGACUCUCUUUGGGAUAAAGUCCUAGAAUGCUUAGUCAAAGGGUAUUCUGAUUGUCUUCCAGCAAGAUUAUUCCAGUGUAUGCACACAGCAGUGUAUGAGAGCAUCCUGUUUCCCUGAGUCCUUAAUAGCAUUGAAUAUUAUCGUUAAAAUUUUUUUUCUUUGUGGUAUUGAAAAUGAUAUAUAGUUUUCAUUGAAGCCUAAAAUUCUUUGGACAUUAAAAAUAAAUUUAUUGGGGGAGCCUGGAUGACUCAGUUGGUUAAGCGUCUGCCUUCGGCUCAGGUCAUGAUCCCAGGUACCUGCUUGGCGGGAAGCCUGCUUCUCCCUCUGCCUGCCACUCUCCCUGCUUGUGGUAUCUCUCUCUCUUUCUCUCUCGCUCUGACAAAUAAAUAAAAUCUUUUUUUUUUAAGAUUUUUUUUAUUUAUUUAUUUGAGACAGAGAAUGAGAGCGAGAGAGCACAUGAGAGGGGGGAGGGUCAGAGGCAGAAGCAGGCUCCCUGCCGAGCAGGGAGCCUGAUGCGGGACUCGAUCCCGGGACUCCAGGAUCAUGACCUGAGCCGAAGGCAGUCACUUAACCAACUGAGCCACCCAGGCGCCCAAUAAAAUCUUUUUUUUAAAAAAUAAAUACAUUUAUUGAUCAUUUGUCAAAAGUUCUUUUGUGAAUUGACUGCUCCAUCACCUAUGGGAUAAAGUUGAAACCUUAGAAGGCGAUUCAAGGCUCUUCCUACUCUGACCCCAACUUCUUUUCUAACUAAUUCUCCUGCAAGUCCUAAACAUUCACCCUACACAUCCAUGGGGAUUAUUUUGUUUUGUAUAAGUUGGAACUAUGUGAAUGUGCUAUUUUUAUAGGCCACAAGUGGUUGACUAUUGACAUUUUCUUAUGGUUAAACCUUAUAAGUCUCCAAAAUAUUUGCUUUCCCACUAGAAUGUUUUCACAAAUGUCUUGUCUCUCCCUGCUUGGUGAAAUCCUUCCCACUCCUUAUAAAGCCAGGUUCACUGGUCAUGUUCCCUACGCCCCUAUUCCUUUGUCCUCCCUCUCCUCUUUCCCUUCCUUCCCCAGUUUAGGUGUAAAUCACUCCUUUUCACCAUUUCCACUCUCCUUCUUUCCUAUUGUAAUAGAAUGAAUGGAUUGCAGCUGGAUAGUGUGUUUGCAUCUGCCUGGCAGAGGCCAAGCCCUGUGUUGCCUUUUCCCAGCAGAGACUCUCUUAUUUAUUUUUGGCAGUUAACAAGGUUUCCGGCUCACAGCAGUUGCACAACAAAAUGUAUGUUGAAGUGAAGAACUAGUAACUUUAGGGCCCAGGAAGUGCCUUAUUAACCAAAUAAUAAUUGCAGUUUCCUUCCAUGUUAAAUAAGGAAGAGCAUGUGUAAUAUCUUCUAAUUUGGUUGGUUGGUAUUUUGUUUGGCAAUGGCUCUCCUUAUUUUGAAUCCUCCAUCCUUCUAUUUCAUUUUUUCCUGUAUUUUCAGAUGUGGUCAUUAUAUUGCAAUUCGAAGAAAUUAAUUGACUCCAUGGCACAAUUCUCAAGGGUGAAAGAACACAAUUCUCUAACUGGCUAAAUAGUAAUCAGUGUACUUUCCAAGGAAUAAAUGUAUUUUUUCCCUUUUAACUAUAUUCACCUUUUUUCUUAGGUACACUAUAGGAAUUUUUAGUGACUUCUAGGAAACACUAAUGCUAUGGAUAGAGUUAUAAUAUUUCAACAAGCUUCAGGAAACAUUAAAAGUAAAUUUUUUUAAUCGAAGUAUAGUUGACAUACAAUAAUAUGUUAGUUUCAGGUGUACAAAAAGUAAAAAUAUUUUUUAAAAACAUUAAGAACACUUAAACUGAAUCUCAUUAAGAUAAAGCCUUCUCUUUUUAAAAGACAUACAUUGCAUGAUCCAUUUAAAUUGUACUUAACAGGAAUAAAGUCAUGUAAUCAUAGAACUUUAAAAGUAGAGGAGAUCCCCAAGGUUUUUAGUAUGUGGGAAGAUACCAAGUAGGAAUGGAGGAGAGAAGAUAAUAGUCUGAGUUUAGCAAUGUCCCCAUAUUCCCCUCUCCAUUGAAUUGUCAAGUGAAGUCCCAACCUUUGCUCAUCUUCUUUCACCUACAUAUCGUGUCCUAGCCAUGCCUCAAACAAGUUCAAUCAGAAGCAAUCUCAAUCCAGGCCUCCUUUGUGUUUAUAGUCAGAAGGGACUGGGUCCCCUGGGUCCCCUAUGGCCUUUUCUUCCUGCUUGCUCAUUAGGCAUGUGUGUGCUCAGAAUUUUGGCUGUUCUUUUUAAAGUAGGCUCCAUGCCCAGCAUGAAGCCCAACAUGGAGCCUAACGUGGGGCUUGAACUCACAACCCUGAGGUCUACACCUGAGUGCAGAUCAAGAGUCAGACAUUUAACGGGCUGAGCCACCCAGGCACCCAAGAAUUUUGCUUUUUGUAGGUGGGCUUUGCUAACCAAGAAACUGGUUCAGUUUCUAGAUCCAAGGAUCCGGAAGAUCUGUUUGAGAUUUUUAAAUAGGAGGUGGGAUGUCAUAAUGACAAAGACAGAUAAUAACAACUAACUGGCAAGAAUGUGGAGAAAUUGGAACCCUCAUACACUGCUGAUGGGAAUGGAAAAUGGUGCAGCCGCUUUAGAAAACAGUCUGGUAAUUCUUCAAAUAGUUAAACACAGAGUUACCAUAUGAUCCAGCAACUCCACUUAUAGGUACACCCAAGAGAAAUGAAAACAUUUGUCCACACAGGAGCUUGCACAUGAAUGUUCAUGCAGCAUUAUUCAUAACAGCCAAAGAAUAGAAACAACCUAAAUGUCCAUUAGCUGAUGAAUGGAUAAGUAAAAUGUGGUAAAUCCACUAAAUGUACUAUUAUUCAACAAUUAAAAGGAAUGAAGUACCGAUAUAUCCAUGACAUAACAUGAAUGAAUGUUGAAAACAUGCUAAGUGAAAGAAACCAGUCAUAAAGGACCACAUAUUUAUGAUUCUCUUUAUAUGAGAUUUCCAAAUAGGCAAAUCCAUAGUGACAGAAAGUAGAUUAGUGGUUGCCCAGAGUGAUGGCAUGGGGUGGGGCUGUGGGGGUCUUCUCUUUGGGGUAAUGAAAGUGUUCUAAAAUUGAUUGUGGUAAUGGAUGUACAAGUCUGUGAACAUACUAAAGGCCAUUGGAUUAUAUACUUUAAACGGGUAAAUUAUACAGUAUGUGAAUGUUAUGUCAAUAAAGCUGUAAAAAAAGAAAAAAGGGGUGUGUAUGUGUGCUUCAUUUAGUCUCCUUGUACUUCUCUGGCUAGCUAGACAUUUCCAUGCCUAAUUUCAGACUCUCUUUGCCCUUUGAUUCUGCUUGAAGUCCAGCCAAUAGCUAAUGUAGCAGGGUGGAUAUUUAACUCACACUACAACUCAGACACAAAGAGAAAAUAUAAGUUCUUUAUUUAGUCUAUAAGCAGUCUGGUUUUUCUCCUGAAGCCCCAACCGAUGGAGAGUGGUGAAGACGAAUGGCAUGUUUAAUUCCCAGUCUCUGGGAGGCCACUAUGGUGGAAGGAAUGGCUGGGACUGAUUGACCUGCAGCUACUACACAUUAUGCUUGUUGCAACUAGAUGCGCUCAGAUGACCAAUGGGCAGGACAUUGUGAUGCGCCAUAUAUAUGCUUCUGAAUUCUUGUCUUGAUUCUUAAUGCUGUGCCUUGCUUUGGCCUUUGUUUUCUAUGUGAUUCAAGACUUGCUUUGAACCACUGCAGAUGUGUGCUUCAUAACUCACGAUGGCCCUCCUGACGUCAGACUACUGGCUCUGUCUGAAGCACCGGUUCCCAGGGAAUGCAUACGUCUCUGGGUUUGCUGUGUUCCUGUAGCUGGUCACAAAUGCUCAUUGUUUCAGUCUCCUAGUCAUGGCUUCUAAUCCCGUCAAUAUGAUCAGUAGCUGGCUCAGCUGAUAAAAGGAUUGUUUUGUGGUUUCCUGAAGCAUUAGAGCUUAAUAGAAUAUAUACACUUACUCCCUUCUUAGGAAACUACAUUUGAAAGCACUCAAAAAUGUUUUAAAUAAAAUUUGCCGUGUUUGUAUAAUUUUGUAUUGAUGAUGCUCUGAGUACUUUACUUUUUUCUUUAACUUUUUUUUUUAAGAUUUUUAUUUAUUUAUUUGACAGAGAGAGAGACAGCAAGAGAGGGAACACAAGCAGGGGGAGUGGGAGAGGGAGAAGCAGGCUUCCCGCGGAGCAGGGAGCCCGAUGCGGGGCUCGAUCCCAGGACCCUGGGAUCAUGACCUGAGCCGAAGGCAGAUGCCUAACGACUGAGCCACCCAGGUGCCCCUUUUUCUUUAACUUUUUAAAAAAUAUAUUUAUUUAUUUUUGAGAGAGAGCACAAGCAGGGGGAGCGGCAGGCAGAGGGAGAAGCAGGCUUCCCGCUGAGCAGGGAGCCCGAUGCGGGACUCCAUCCCAGGACCCUGGGGUCAUGACCUGAGCUGAAGGUGACGCUCAACCAACUGAGCCACCCAGGCGCCCGUACUUACUUUACUUUUUAAAGCUCUGUUUUUUUGGUUUCUUUGGAAAGAGAACUGCCUGACUAUUGGUGCUUUGAAUGGAGGGAGGUAAAAAGUAGUAUUAUAUUAGUUGGCCCAGGAGGAAGAUGAAGUGUGAUGUAUAUUAGCUUUUCAAGUUGUUUAAUCUUGCUCAAACCAAGUCAGUGAUGUGACAGUUCAGAAAGGAAUUCAAAGAGUACUUGCUGCUUUUAGCAAUUGAUUCUGAAGAGUUGUGACUUCUAUAAACACCAAAAAUACUUCAAAAUUGAUAUACAAUCAGGACUGAAUAGGACCUUAAUAUUGAUAUGGGUCCUACAGUCUGAGUGCCAGUGCCUGGGAAGUCUUUUGUUUGUUUUUAACAAAUAAUACAGUAUUUGGGGGCAAAACCCCAAAUUUAAGAAUAUUUAACAUUAUGUGAAUGCCUAUUGAGUUUACAAAGAGAUAAACUUGAUUAAACUAUUUGACUACUAAAUGAAUAGGGAUUUGAGUAUAUUUUAUAGAAUUUUUUAUUCAAUAGAAACUGUCAAUCUUUGUGUCUAUUAUAUACACACAUAAGGGUAAAUUAAAGUUCAGAGGAAUAUGUAUGUAAAUAAAUAGAAAUAAAUGUGUACAUAUAAGUAAAUCAUAAAUAUAUGUAUAUAUUCUUAGGUAUGCUGUGCUAAGGUUCAGCUGGAUGUAAUUUUCGCAUUAUCAUCUAAAUGAAAAUAUCUGUUAAUUCAUAAGUUCAUAAAUUAUACCUAUGAACUCAGAAGUGAAAAGUUGAUAAUGACAAUUUAAGACAAAUAUAUUCUUUUGGGUAUUUAUUUACUUACUCAAACAUUCAAAAGUUCUUACAAGGUAUUAAAAAUGCCUGAGACAUUUGUUUUUGUUUUGUUUGUUUGUUUUAUUUGACAGAGAGACAGUGAGAGAGGGAACACAAGCAGGGGGAGUGGGAGAGGGAGAAGCAGGCUUCCCACGGAGCAGGGAGCCCAAUGUGGGGCUCGAUCCCAGGACCCUGGGAUCAUGACCUGAGCCGAAGACAGACGCUUACCGACUGAGCCACCCAGGCGCCCCAUGCCUGAGACAUUUGUAAGGACUUUAAAGAAGCUGUAGAAGAAAUACUAAUAAAGCAUGAGGUGAAAUUAUAUAGAUUGCUAGACCUCAGUAGAUGCAACGAUGAAAGACAAAGAACUGUCAAGAAGGAGAGGGAAACUGGAUGCUUGGGUGACUCAGUCGAUUGAGUGUCUGCCUUGCGCUCAGGUCAUGAUCCUGGGGUCCUGGAAUCGAGUCCCCCAUCCAGCUCCCUGCUCAGCGGGGAGUCUGCUUCUCCCUCUGCCUCUGCCCCUCCCCCUGCUUGUGUGCACCCUCUCCCUCUCUCUCUCAAACGAAUAAGUAAAAUUUUGAAAAAAAAAAAAAAAGGAGAGGGAAACUGGAAAUGAGAAGAAGAGUGAAGCAUUGAAGGACUGAUCUAACUGAAGCCCUGGACGAAGCACUAAAAAUCACUGUGGAAAGAGUGGACCACGUUUGCACAAUUUAAACACUGCGCUGCAAUGAAUAUAGACGAAUUUCCAGCCCCCUUUCCUGAUGGAUACCAUGGACUCACUAUGCCAAGGAUCCUGUUCUCAGAGCAGUAAGGGAAGAACACAUUUUCCAAAAUAUCGAAUUACCCAGUUACACCUAUUCACUUUUGCUAGAAGUCUACACUGAAAUUUGAUGAGCAUGAUGAAGAGGACGACUGCCUACUCCUACGAUGCACCACAGAAAGAAAUAGUACCGGGAAACAAAAACAGAAGUAGUCAAGAAUAGAGAAUGUCUAAUGCCGGCUCUGUUUCUAUUCCAGCAUCCUCCGUGAAGUGCAUAGUUUCCCUUGAUUAUAAAAUAGAGAUAAAUUCUAAAUGUGACAUUACAUAAAAAGGCAUUUAUUUUUACCCCCUCCUCUGCAUGGGGACAGUUAUCUGUCUUCAUCUCAAUGUGAGUUAGAAUAUAUAAUGCCCAAAUAAAAAAGAUCUCAAUUUUCAUUCAUUUAGCAAUAGUCUGUUUCCUUGGGAGAGAGUUGCCUAGUAAACAAAAAAUGUGUGGGAUGUUAGGCUUUUAUAACCACGUAAAAGAAAUGACUCUAAAAGAUGCUACAUUAAUAUGGCUGUAAAUUGGAAGUUGUCAUUUUUGUGAAUGGAGAAUUUAUGUAGAAAGAGACAUGAUUCUUUCCUUCACUUAAUCCAUUCUCCACAUGUCUGACCUUUUGAAUAAUCGUUUUAAAAAUACAAAUUGCCUCAUUCCCCUCUUGUGGGGCUUCUGAAUGCCUUUAGAGUAACCUUCAGUUGCUGCCGAGGCUCUAACGGGAUCUGGCCCUGCGUUCUUCCUCGGUGUCCUCUCAAGGCUUUUUGCCCUUGCUCAUCUUGGCUUUCUCUGUCCAUGUCUUAAAGGAACCAAAUUCUUUCAUACCCCAGAGCUUUGGGAUGUGCCUUUUGCCAGGAAUGUCCUUUCCCUGACCCUUCACAUAGUUAAUUCUCAUUUAUUCUUAAUUGCUCAGUGAAAGGUCUCUUCCUCAGGAAAGCCUACAUAUUCAAAUAUGUAUUAGGAGUCUGCUGACCCUUUCCCUUCAUAGAGAUUAUCAGUUUGUAGUUUGCUUCUUAUUUUAUUGUGUAAAUUAGGUAAUAAACCCUGUCACAUCAGA
Mirounga angustirostris (Northern elephant seal) is the source of this 7709-nucleotide long non-coding RNA. RefSeq lists it as uncharacterized. The transcript has 2 exons. The record is from RefSeq and is a predicted model, not a curated record. NCBI's taxonomy places the organism in Eukaryota, Metazoa, Chordata, Mammalia, Carnivora, Phocidae.